This 74-nucleotide transfer RNA is filed under the name Deltaproteobacteria bacterium. RNAcentral's name for it is "tRNA-Lys". It matches the Rfam family "tRNA". From Rfam's summary of the family: Transfer RNA (tRNA) molecules are approximately 80 nucleotides in length. Their secondary structure includes four short double-helical elements and three loops (D, anti-codon, and T loops). Lineage: Bacteria; Pseudomonadati; Myxococcota; Myxococcia. The record is from RNAcentral.
GGGCCGGUAGCUCAGACAGGAAGAGCAGCGGACUUUUAAUCCGUUGGCCGUGGGUUCGAAUCCCGCUCGGCCCA